Molecule: non-coding RNA, 210 nt
Organism: Gossypium raimondii (Peruvian cotton)
Lineage: Eukaryota; Viridiplantae; Streptophyta; Magnoliopsida; Malvales; Malvaceae
Source: Rfam
CAGGUAAAAAGGGAGCUUUCUUCAGUCCACUCAUGGGUGGCGAGAUGGGAUUUCAAUUAGCUGCCGACUCAUUCAUCCAAAUACGGUGUUAUAAAAAGGACGAUAUAUCUCAGCAAAUAUAUGCUCUGUAAAUGAGUGAAUGAUGCGGGAGACAAAUUGAAUCUUAAACUUCCUAUGCUUGGACUGAAGGGAGCUCCCUCUGCUCUUCUU